UACGUAGGGUGCAAGCGUUGUCCGGAAUUAUUGGGCGUAAAGGGCUCGUAGGCGGUCCAUCGCGUCGGGAGUGAAAAGCUGGGGCUUAACCCCAGUCCUGCUUCCGAUACGGGUGGACUAGAGGUAGGUAGGGGAGAUCGGAAUUCCUGGUGUAGCGGUGAAAUGCGCAGAUAUCAGGAGGAACACCGGUGGCGAAGGCGGAUUUCUGGGCCUUACCUGACGCUGAGGAGCGAAAGCAUGGGGAGCAAACAGG
RNAcentral lists this ribosomal RNA (253 nucleotides) under uncultured bacterium. Its description in RNAcentral is "partial 16S ribosomal RNA". It matches the Rfam family "Bacterial small subunit ribosomal RNA", at positions 524 to 776 of the family's 1533-position model. The record is from RNAcentral.